RNAcentral lists this unclassified non-coding RNA (704 nucleotides) under Syspastospora parasitica. RNAcentral describes it as "sequence contains 18S rRNA gene, ITS1, 5.8S rRNA gene, ITS2, 28S rRNA gene". The record is from RNAcentral. Lineage: Eukaryota; Fungi; Ascomycota; Sordariomycetes; Coronophorales; Ceratostomataceae.
UUUCCUCCGGCUUUUGAUAUGCUUAAGUUUAGCGGGUAUCCCUACCCGAUUCGAGGUCGAUCUUGAAUAAGUGGUUUGUUGCUCAGGACCGCGAGCGGCACCUGAGGGCGGGCGGCGCGAGGAGCCCAAUGCGAGUAGAAGUACUACGCAGAGGACGUCGCGGGCGCUGCCGCCGCUGAACUCCGGGCCGCGCGGCCUGCCUGGUAGGCAAGGCGGCGCGCUGGCCCAAUGCCGAGGGUGCCCAUCCAGAAGAACGGGUUCCUCGAGGUUCUUAUCCGACGCUCGAACGGGCAUGGCCGCCGGAGUGCCGGCGGCCGCAAGGUGCGUUCAAAGAUUCGAUGGUUCACUGAAUUCUGCAAUUCACACUACGUAUCGCAUUUCGCUGCGUUCUUCAUCGAUGCCAGAGCCAAGAGAUCCGUUGCCAAAAGUUUUUACUCGUUUUUAUUGUCUAAUUCAGAUUGAGCGCAGAGCGUUGAAUGAGCGUUUGUGCGGCUGCCGGCGGCGGCGGUCAACGCGGAGCAGGACCGAGGGAGCGCCAUUUCUGGGCUCACUCGAGCCGCCCCACGCUUCCGCGCGCUCGCCGAGGCAACGUAUGUAGGUAUAGGUUCACGGGGUUGGCAGAGCCUGAGACCGUUGCGGGUCCGUUCUCUAAUGAUCCCUCCGCUGGUUCACCAACGGAGACCUUGUUACGAUUUUUUACUUCC